Molecule: RNA transcript, 1442 nt
Organism: Gossypium arboreum
Lineage: Eukaryota; Viridiplantae; Streptophyta; Magnoliopsida; Malvales; Malvaceae
Exons: 9
Source: RefSeq, a predicted model, not a curated record
UAGUAACAGCCAUGAAUUGUAUCUUCCCUCUCUCUCAGGCUCAUGGCCCUUCUUCUCUCCUCCUCCCUACACCCUCCAACCUCUCCUUUAAACCCCAAACUCAACUCUCUUAGCACUCCACUUUCGAACGCUGUUAUUACCAAGAGACAGCUUAUCAUUAAUACAACUACUUCCUUCUCCAUCAUUUUUGGGGCACAACAAAACCCAGUUCCACAAUGUUUAGCUCAACCUUCUAAUCCUUCCAAACCGUCGGCUUUGAACAUCGCAAACACCAAAGCUUGGUUCCAGUUCUAUGGUGAUGGUUUUGCCAUCAGGGUUCCUCCUGAGUUUGAAGACAUCAUGGAGCCUGAGGAUUUCAAUGCUGGAGCUUCCCUGUAUGGGGACAAGGCAAAGCCGAGGCCUUUUGCGGCACGAUUUGCUUCAACCGAUGGAUCCGAGGUUUUGAGCGUUGUCAUUCGCCCGACCAAUCAACUCAAAAUCACCUUCCUAGAGGCCCAAGAGAUUACAGAUUUAGGUUCCAUAAAGGACGCAGCUAAAAUCUUUGUACCAGGUGGAGCAACACUUUAUAAUGCCAGAACCAUAAAGAUAAAGGAAGAUGAAGGUUUCAAGACUUACUAUUUCUAUGAAUUUGGAAGAGAUGAGCAGCACAUCGCGAUAAUGGCCACCGUUAAUGGUGGAAAGGCCAUCAUUGCUGGUACAACUGCUCCACAAUCGAAGUGGGAUGAUGAUGGAGUGAAGCUUCGAUCUGCAGCAAUCUCAUUGACAGUUCUGUAGUCCAUGGCAUAAAGGCAGGCUUUACAUUUGUUGGCCCUAUGAUCUUCUCAAUGUUAACCUUAUUGCACAUUGGGUUGACGAGACAUCUUGGAAACAAUCACUGGAGAACUUCAUUGGACAAUUCCAGAAGUUUACAACAGCAGAAAGUUUUGAUGGAAUAUAAUUAAUCCCUUUUAUUUGUUUAUACAUUUGAUCACGAAUAAGCACAAUUCAUGAAAAAUACCAAAAAAAGAAACAUUAUGGUAAAUUGAAGCUGAAAUAAGGUCAAGAACAAAGCAUAAGGUGAUCAAUACUGAAACAAGUCUCUGAACCUAUGAAAAUCAAUAUCCCGACAUGAUUAUAUUGUCAGUUUAUUCUAAAUGUCGAGUAAUGGAUGCUUGAAUUUCUUCUAGUGUUCGCCCCUUGGUCUUUGGCACCAGCUUUGCGAUGAACAUGAUUUCUACCCCAGAAAUUGUUGAAAAUAUGAAGAAUGUUCCUGUAAUAGUGCAAUGAUAAAUGGUUUUAGAAUGAUAACUCCGGUGGAAGAAUUCCAUAUACGUCAUAAUCGUGAUUAAGUUAUUGUUAUAUAUUGUGUUCUACAUUAUUCGGAUUUGGAUGAGUGUCGGAUCAUGUUUGGAGCGUACUUCAAGGGAAUAAAAGUCCCAAUUAACAUAGUUGGUGGUAAUAAA